CACGUAGGGGGCAAGCGUUGUCCGGAUUUAUUGGGCGUAAAGAGCUCGUAGGCGGCUUAGUAAGUCGGGUGUGAAACCUCCAGGCUCAACCUGGAGACGCCACCCGAUACUGCUGUGGCUAGAGUCCGGUAGGGGAGCGUGGAAUUCCUGGUGUAGCGGUGAAAUGCGCAGAUAUCAGGAGGAACACCAGCGGCGAAGGCGGCGCUCUGGGCCGGUACUGACGCUGAGGAGCGAAAGCGUGGGGAGCGAACAGG
This 254-nucleotide ribosomal RNA is filed under the name uncultured bacterium. RNAcentral describes it as "partial 16S ribosomal RNA". It matches the Rfam family "Bacterial small subunit ribosomal RNA", at positions 524 to 776 of the family's 1533-position model. The record is from RNAcentral.